RNAcentral lists this ribosomal RNA (497 nucleotides) under uncultured bacterium. RNAcentral's name for it is "partial 16S ribosomal RNA". It matches the Rfam family "Bacterial small subunit ribosomal RNA", at positions 28 to 507 of the family's 1533-position model. The record is from RNAcentral.
GAUGAACGCUGGCGGCGUGCCUAAUACAUGCCAGUCGAGCGAACAGACGAGGAGCUUGCUCCUCUGACGUUAGCGGCGGACGGGUGAGUAACACGUGGAUAACCUACCUAUAAGACUGGGAUAACUUCGGGAAACCGGAGCUAAUACCGGAUAAUAUAUUGAACCGCAUGGUUCAAUAGUGAAAGACGGUUUUGCUGUCACUUAUAGAUGGAUCCGCGCCGCAUUAGCUAGUUGGUAAGGUAACGGCUUACCAAGGCAACGAUGCGUAGCCGACCUGAGAGGGUGAUCGGCCACACUGGAACGGAGACACGGGCCAGACUCCUACGGGGGGCAGCAGUAGGGAAUCUUCCGCAAUGGGCGAAAGCCUGACGGAGCAACGCCGCGUGAGUGAUGAAGGUCUUCGGAUCGUAAAAUUCUGUUAUUAGGGAAGAACAAAUGUGUAAGUAACUAUGCACGUCUUGACGGUACCUAAUCAGAAAGCCACGGCUAACUACGUG